GUGUUUGUGUCUUUGACAGAGGAGUAGCCUGAGUGGGAGAUUUAUUCCAGGUGAGUGCCUCAGCUUGUGGGAGGUGUCACAUUCCUGAGGAGAGUCAGUUUGACUGCCAGUCUUGAAUACAAGGCUCAGACAAGAGAAACUUUGCAAACAGAUAACGAAGGAGUUUAGUGGGAGAUUGAUGGGGAACUCUGUGGGGAGGCACACAAGUGGUGCCCCUUCAUCACAGAGAAGACACCCAGUGCAAGAAUAAGGAUGCAACAGAUCAAGGGGGAGGAACAUCUCCCCAGUAACUAUCUGAAGGGAUUUUUGAUACUUCCUCCAACAUGCAGAUAAUUUCACAGGAAGAUGGAUUGUCCUGGCAAAAUGUCCUUCAUCUCAACAUUCUACCUCAAGACACUUUCAGAUGGAUUCAGAACAUAAAAGUUAACAGAACACAAGAGAAAGGGAAAUAAUACGAACACAAAUUUCAGCCUUGCUCAUCUAAAAAGAAUGACAACUGUGGGUGCUUAAAAUAAUCAAACUUUCAUGUGUCCUCUUCUUUUAAAGUUAUUAUGUUAUAACUUUAAUCUCUUUCUUCUUCACAUUGUAGCUUGACACAUUGGAAAAGAGAGUUUUCUGGUUUGUGGUCCCCACUUUAGCUGUGGAGACCAGAACAUGGUAUAUUGUGGUUUGCUGGGACUGGCAGAAAUUAGCUCAGGAUCUUAUUUUACCGUUAAUUAAAACAUAAAAAUAAAACCCCCCACAAAUUCUACAUGUGAACAGAAUGAAUUAGGUAAAUUAAGACUCUGUAAAUGUUAUUUGCCAGUUAUUUUUGAAAUGCAUUUCAUUCAGGAGUGGGGUGGGGAACCCAGUUGGUAACAAUGUGAGUCUUGCUAGGUUAUAUACUGUGACCCAAUUUUGAAACAUAUAGGGAGAGAAGGAGGCAUAUGAAUUGUGUGGUAUAUUGGUUGGCAUUGGGAAGGGGCAGAAGAAUUUAAGCUAUGAUCAAAUGAAGGGACUAAGAACUUUGAAGGAACUAUCUCACCUGGUCAUAGGUAAUCUCUCCUACUUUCUUGCCAGUCCCAGAGAUUUUUUUCUGACCUCCCAAGGAUCAGAAACAGAAUAUAUAAACAGAAACAGACUUUCACAUUUGGAUCACCUCUUCCACACUGAGUCCCACCUGACUAAUGUGGCCAUUUGUUAUAACUGAAACUAGUUUGAUAAAGGAUAUGGCUCUGUUCCUUGGAGAGCAGCUAUUUUGUUGAUAUUUAUUUUUAAGACAGCUUUUCCAGUGCUGUGAAAGAGAAGCUUCCUUUUCUCUGAGACUGAGGGGGCAAUGCCUCCCUCUUAGACAGUUGCGUCUCUUUUGAACUCUAGUAGCUAAAAAUCUUUCAUUGACAUAACAAUUUCCACCUUCAUUUGAGUUGGAGUUUUUGCUAAGUUUCCAUGAUAGUUUUGCGUUUUUUUCUCUUGUAUACCUGAUUGUCUGUUGUAUUCUACUUUUUCUUAAAUAAACCUUUUUGUCAUUUA
Molecule: long non-coding RNA, 1509 nt
Organism: Hemicordylus capensis (graceful crag lizard)
Lineage: Eukaryota; Metazoa; Chordata; Lepidosauria; Squamata; Cordylidae
Exons: 2
Source: RefSeq, a predicted model, not a curated record